UUAAAAGAGAGUGAAGAAAUGAGGCCAACCAGAUGCAGUGUACAGACUUGGGCCACAGUGGGGGAGGUGACAGCAGACGGUUUGGUGGGAAGGAACGCACCAGAGCCCCAUGGGCCUGCCUGGCCAGCUCGCUUGGUCAUCCUGGUAAAACAGCAGAGCUCUCUGUUCCAAGAGGCCCACGCGCAGCCCCACAUGCCUGCUGAUCUGUGUACACACGUGUGUGCACUCUAGCAAGCCUCACUUUAAUUGUGAAGAAACAUGGGAACCGGUGCUCCCACCCGGGCUGUGGGAGUGUGGUGCGGUGGGGCCUGGACACGGGGAGGGUCCGAAGUGGGGCCAGCUCCCUGGAGUCAGGCAUGUCUGUCUCAAGCUGCCCCUGUCCCUUGCUGAAUGGGAACCCCCACCAGCUGCCUCGGGAGCCCGUGUCCUUACACUCUAUUCGGAUCUGCUCCAGCUCCGUCACCUCAGCAAUGGACUCCUUCAGGUCCUCCACGAACUUCUGCAUCUCGUCCGAGCCCAGGGCACAGAAAUGCAGCACCUGCUUCUUCUCGGAGCCCGAGAGCGGGGUCACCAGUGUGAUGCCAUGAGAGUAAUCUGGAAAGCAGACCCCAGGCCCCCAGUGGGCUGUGAGCAGCAGCAGCCGAGGGCCAGAGCCAGCCAGACAUGAGGAGGGCACGGGGUCUCAUGCCUCCACCCACUCUGCUGUCCAGCCCUUCUCCCUCAACUCGCCCCAGCCAUUUCAUCCAUUCAUUCCUUCUCAAAGACUUACACUGGCUGUCAAAGACUUACACUCGUUCUCAAAGAGCUGGAACUGCAUGCCCAGCAGGCCAACUGACUUGCAAAAGGUGUACGUGGAGGAGCUCUUCUUCUUCGGGCAAAGUUUGAGAAUCUGUUCAGGAGAGGGAAACAGGCAUGCCCUGAUGAACAGACACUCACGGACACAUGGAUGCACAAACACCCGGGGGAUGCACGAUCACACAAACCCACGCAGUGAUGAAUGUGCACAUACAGCUUCUGUGAGCUGAGCCCUGGAGAUACAGGAGAACUCAGGACAGAGCCCCUGCCCUUAAGGUGCUUAUGGAAUGUGGAGUGUCACAGUGU
RNAcentral lists this long non-coding RNA (1101 nucleotides) under Homo sapiens (human). RNAcentral's name for it is "long non-coding RNA NONHSAT163166.1". The record is from RNAcentral. Lineage: Eukaryota; Metazoa; Chordata; Mammalia; Primates; Hominidae.